UCGAGGUUAAUGUUUCGAUUGUCGUAUUUUACCUGUUCAUUGCCAACAUUGAUCCAGCAUGUCGGGAUAUAAACAAUCACUACUUCAGUCAACUUUUUUACUUGAGUAACAUGUGGAAGCACGCUCGGUUCAAUUCUGUUUUUGGCCAUUGUUAUGUAGUUUAAGUUUACGCAACUGUUUCUAAAAUUUAGGUUAAGUGUGUGACAUUACUGCUUAACAUAGAUAUUGAACUCAAUCUGGCGAUGAGGUUUUACAUCAUAGUUUGUUUAUAAAUAAUAGUUGCUAUUUACUGCCAUUUUUGUUUGUUGUUAUUUCUAAAUAUUUCUCCAUAUGCUGAAUGUCGUGUACCACUUAUCUUAACGUUGAUCGAUAUCGUUUUUUUCAGGUACUUUUUGUAACCCAGAAACCCUAAAAGAGAC
Colias croceus (clouded yellow) is the source of this 419-nucleotide long non-coding RNA. RefSeq lists it as uncharacterized. The transcript has 2 exons. NCBI's taxonomy places the organism in Eukaryota, Metazoa, Arthropoda, Insecta, Lepidoptera, Pieridae. The record is from RefSeq and is a predicted model, not a curated record.